RNAcentral lists this ribosomal RNA (252 nucleotides) under uncultured bacterium. Its description in RNAcentral is "partial 16S ribosomal RNA". It matches the Rfam family "Bacterial small subunit ribosomal RNA", at positions 524 to 776 of the family's 1533-position model. The record is from RNAcentral.
UACAGAGGUCCCAAGCGUUGUUCGGAUUCACUGGGCGUAAAGGGUGCGUAGGUGGCUUGGUAAGUUCGAUGUGAAAUCUCCGGGCUUAACCCGGAAAUGGCAUUGAAUACUAUUGAGCUGGAGGUUUGGAGGGGGACUGGAAUUCUCGGUGUAGCAGUGAAAUGCGUAGAUAUCGAGAGGAACACCAGUGGCGAAGGCGAGUCCCUGGACAACACCUGACACUGAGGCACGAAAGCUAGGGGAGCAAACAGG